CACACCUAAAAGAGCCAACAGCCAGGGUUACCAUAACGAUAUCUGGGCAACAAGCGACGUCAGCUCCAGUAAGGAACCCUCUGCGGGAACAAGAUUAGAGGAUCCAAUCAGUGGUGACACUGAACCUGGCACCCAGUGGAAUGAGACACCAGGGAGGCCUAAUCAUCCCCAUGACUCCACUCAGCUGCAGCAGGCCAAUGAAAUCCCCUCCAGACUAAGCAGAUGGUCGAUAUCAUCUUCUUUCUUUUCUAGCACCUUGGAAGCAGCACAAAGACCAAGCCAGGAAAAGUCAGCCUUCUGAUCUCAAGAAAGCAAGAGUUAUACAA
This is a long non-coding RNA of Oreochromis aureus, 326 nucleotides long. RefSeq lists it as uncharacterized. NCBI's taxonomy places the organism in Eukaryota, Metazoa, Chordata, Actinopteri, Cichliformes, Cichlidae. The transcript has 3 exons. The record is from RefSeq and is a predicted model, not a curated record.